GCAUUAGUGGUAUAGUGGUAGCAUUCCUGCCUUCCAAGCAUGAGACCCGGGUUCGAUUCCCGGCUAAUGCA
Molecule: transfer RNA, 71 nt
Filed under: Amphiamblys sp. WSBS2006
Lineage: Eukaryota; Fungi; Microsporidia; Amphiacanthidae
Rfam family: tRNA
About the family: Transfer RNA (tRNA) molecules are approximately 80 nucleotides in length.
Source: Rfam by way of RNAcentral